This 429-nucleotide ribosomal RNA is filed under the name uncultured Dokdonella sp. RNAcentral describes it as "bacterial SSU rRNA". It matches the Rfam family "Bacterial small subunit ribosomal RNA", at positions 355 to 776 of the family's 1533-position model. Lineage: Bacteria; Pseudomonadati; Pseudomonadota; Gammaproteobacteria; Lysobacterales; Rhodanobacteraceae. The record is from RNAcentral.
UGGGGAAUAUUGGACAAUGGGCGCAAGCCUGAUCCAGCCAUGCCGCGUGUGUGAAGAAGGCCUUCGGGUUGUAAAGCACUUUUGUUGGGGAAGAAAACCUGUUGGUUAAUACCUGGCAGGGAUGACGGUACCCAAAGAAUAAGCACCGGCUAACUUCGUGCCAGCAGCCGCGGUAAUACGAAGGGUGCAAGCGUUACUCGGAAUUACUGGGCGUAAAGCGUGCGUAGGCGGUUGGUUAAGUCUGCUGUGAAAGCCCCGGGCUCAACCUGGGAACUGCAGUGGAUACUGGCCAGCUAGAGUGUGUCAGAGGAUGGUGGAAUUCCCGGUGUAGCGGUGAAAUGCGUAGAGAUCGGGAGGAACACCAGUGGCGAAGGCGGCCAUCUGGGACAACACUGACGCUGAGGCACGAAAGCGUGGGGAGCAAACAGG